This 253-nucleotide ribosomal RNA is filed under the name uncultured bacterium. RNAcentral's name for it is "partial 16S ribosomal RNA". It matches the Rfam family "Bacterial small subunit ribosomal RNA", at positions 524 to 776 of the family's 1533-position model. The record is from RNAcentral.
UACGGGGGGGGUAAGCGUUGUUCGGAAUUACUGGGCGUAAAGGGCUCGUAGGUGGCCAACUAAGUCAGACGUGAAAUCCCUCGGCUUAACCGGGGAACUGCGUCUGAUACUGGAUGGCUUGAGUUUGGGAGAGGGACGCGGAAUUCCAGGUGUAGCGGUGAAAUGCGUAGAUAUCUGGAGGAACAUCGGUGGCGAAGGCGGCAUCCUGGACCGGUAUUGACGCUGAGGCGCGAAAGCCAGGGGAGCAAACGGG